UGCUUAACACAUGCAAGUCGAACGAGAAAGGGUUCUUCGGAACCUGAGUAAAGUGGCGCACGGGUGAGUAACGCGUGGAUAAUCUACCCCCGAAUCUGGGAUAACAGUUCGAAAGGGCUGCUAAUACCGGAUGACAUCGGAAUCACUUUGGCGAUUUUGAUCAAAGAGGGCCUCUUCUUGAAAGCUCUUGUUUGGGGAUGAGUCCGCGUCCCAUUAGCUUGUUGGUGGGGUAACGGCCUACCAAGGCUGCGAUGGGUAGCUGGUCUGAGAGGAUGAUCAGCCACACUGGGACUGACACACGGCCCAGACUCCUACGGGAGGCAGCAGUGAGGAAUUUUGCGCAAUGGGGGAAACCCUGACGCAGCAACGCCGCGUGAGUGAUGAAGGCUUUCGGGUCGUAAAGCUCUGUCAAGUGGGAAGAAACC
Molecule: ribosomal RNA, 425 nt
Filed under: uncultured delta proteobacterium
Lineage: Bacteria; Deltaproteobacteria
Description: bacterial SSU rRNA
Rfam family: Bacterial small subunit ribosomal RNA
Source: RNAcentral